GUGGGGAAUCUUGCACAAUGGGCGAAAGCCUGAUGCAGCAAUGCCGCGUGAGGGAAGACGGCCUUCGGGUUGUAAACCUCUUUCAGUUGGGAUGAAGGUUCGGCGUUGAAUAGACGUCCGGACUGACCGUACCUUCAGAAGAAGCCCCGGCUAACUACGUGCCAGCAGCCGCGGUAAUACGUAGGGGGCAAGCGUUGUCCGGAAUCAUUGGGCGUAAAGCGCGUGUAGGCGGUUCUGUAAGUCUGCUGUGAAAGUCGAAGGCUCAACCUUCGAAAGCCGGUGGAUACUGUGGAACUAGAGUGCGGAAGAGGCAAGUGGAAUUCCUGGUGUAGCGGUGAAAUGCGCAGAUAUCAGGAGGAACACCAACGGCGAAGGCAGCUUGCUGGGACGUUACUGACGCUGAGACGCGAAAGCGUGGGGAGCAAACAGGAUUAGAAACCCUUGUAGUCC
This 450-nucleotide ribosomal RNA is filed under the name uncultured bacterium. Its description in RNAcentral is "bacterial SSU rRNA". It matches the Rfam family "Bacterial small subunit ribosomal RNA", at positions 354 to 796 of the family's 1533-position model. The record is from RNAcentral.